GCAAGUCGAACGGAUCCUUCGGGAUUAGUGGCGCACGGGUGCGUAACACGUGGGAAUAUACCCUUGAGUAAGGAAUAAUGUCUGGAAACGGGCACUAAUACCUUAUAAUGACUUCGGUCCAAAGAUUUAUCGCUCAAGGAUUAGCCCGCGCUUGAUUAGUUUGUUGGUGAGGUAAUGGCUCACCAAGACUACGAUCAAUAGGGGGUCUGAGAGGAUGAUC
Molecule: ribosomal RNA, 220 nt
Filed under: uncultured bacterium
Lineage: Bacteria
Description: partial 16S ribosomal RNA
Rfam family: Bacterial small subunit ribosomal RNA
Source: RNAcentral